This is a ribosomal RNA of Colobus angolensis palliatus, 110 nucleotides long. The record is from Ensembl. Lineage: Eukaryota; Metazoa; Chordata; Mammalia; Primates; Cercopithecidae.
AUCUACGGCCAUAACCACCCUGAACACACCUGAUCUCAGAAGCUAAGCAGGGUCGAGCCUGGUUAGUACUUGGAUGGGAGUCCACCUCGGAAUGCCAGGUACUGUAUGCU